RNAcentral lists this long non-coding RNA (555 nucleotides) under Manihot esculenta (cassava). RNAcentral's name for it is "long non-coding RNA (MESC_LNC000181)". Lineage: Eukaryota; Viridiplantae; Streptophyta; Magnoliopsida; Malpighiales; Euphorbiaceae. The record is from RNAcentral.
GAAGAUAUGACUGCUGCAGUGUGUGCACAUUUUUUAACAAGGAAAGAAAGAUCUGUGAUUUGAAUUUCAAAUAAUCUUCUGACUGAGCUUUCCUUGUUUGCUUUUGCUUCUGCACUUUCCUCAUUUGAAAACUUUCCUUUUCUGAAAACUUUCCUUAUUUGGAAACUUUUCUUAUUUGGCACUUUUUGGCAGUUUUAAGAGCAUUUUCUCCAGAUUGUCUCUUUACACCUAAUAUCUGCAAAACAUAAUUAAAACCACAAAAUUAAGCAGAAAAGAUGUAAAUAAACAUCAAGAACAUAAUGAUAAAAUGGACUAAAAUAUGCUCUAUCAAAUACCCCCACACCUACCUUUUUGCUUGUCCUCAAGCAAAUAAACAUAGUCAAAUAAGUUUUCUUUGCUACGUGAUCCUUAUUUCCACUUAAACUCUUACUCUAGACACCUAUUUUGAAUCAUUGCAGUGAAGAAUACAUGCAUGAAGAUUACUCACCUUCUUUCCUUGUUUCCCUUUACUUACCAUGGCUAGGAUCUGUUUUCCUCAAGAGAGACCAUACAUGC